RNAcentral lists this antisense RNA (75 nucleotides) under Micromonospora eburnea. Its description in RNAcentral is "ASpks TB sRNA". It matches the Rfam family "ASpks TB sRNA". Lineage: Bacteria; Bacillati; Actinomycetota; Actinomycetes; Micromonosporales; Micromonosporaceae. The record is from RNAcentral.
CUUGACGGAUCCGAGCCACAGCGGCCGGUCGGCCGGCCGGUUCUGGCCAUACGUGGCGAUCAGCGCCUGCGCCUC